UUAGUCAGAUUAGCUUUUUCG
This 21-nucleotide non-coding RNA is filed under the name Caenorhabditis elegans. The record is from RNAcentral. Lineage: Eukaryota; Metazoa; Nematoda; Chromadorea; Rhabditida; Rhabditidae.